UGCUGUUGGGACGUAGCGAUUGUAGGGCUACGUAUGAUGGCCUUGUGGCAGGGUAGCCAUAGCGAAGAAUGGGCUAUGUAUGUAGGCUCUCUGCUGUUGGGACGUAGCGAUUGUAGGGCUACGUAUGAUGGCCUUGUGGCAGAGUAGCCAUAGCGAAGAAUGUGCUAUGUAUGUAGGCUCCCUGCUGUUGGGCCGUAGCGAUUGUAGGGUUACGUAUGAUGGCCUUGUUUUAUUAUGUGUUAGAUAACGCUUAAGGAAAAGGUGAGAUAUAUGAGGUGGUAGAAAAAAUUUACAUACAGAUGUGUUAUUUUUAUGCUAACUGAAAGUCGUUGUAUACCUGUAUGCAAUCAACCUUGAGAUCGUGAGCUAGGCGGAGGCCGGCUAGAUGGCUUCGUAUUCAGAGCAAUUGUUAGUGGCGGGGAAGCAGAAUCUAAUGGAUUGCUGAAUUUGAAAGCACUCUUCAGUGGUCGGAGGACCUGGACCUUGCUCUUCGUCCAUGUCGGGGACUGCGGUUGCCAUAUGGGCAGUGGUGGGAGUUUUCUGAGACUCGAGACCUAGAGGAAGAACGUUUUGGCCGAUGAAGGUGGUCAUCUAGGCGGCCAAAUUAUCCACCUGCUCUUGUAGAUGUCGUUGUUGAGCUUCAUAUUGGUCGAAGCGAUCGAAAUUCGGGGAGUGAGAUGGUGAGGGAGUGAUGCUAUACGGGUGGUGAGAAGACUGAGAUGGUGAAGGUGCUAUACGGGAGUGAUGCUAUACAGGUGCUCGAUUCUUCGCUCACCUUUCUUCGUUUAGGGUUUUCUUCCUGGUCGUCGUGGUAUGGCGGUGAAUUUCACGGGUUUCUCUUUCUUUUCGAUCCCCAGCGGCGGCGCCAAUUGAUAGAUUUAGUUUCUGUCUUCUCUCUCUCUCUCUCCAGAAUGGGAGAGCCGUUCUUGUGUAUAUGUAUCUGUGUGUAUUUGUGCAAUUGAUGUUCUAAUUGUUUUCUCCCCCUUUCUUUUCUUUUUUCCUCUCCUUUUAUGUCUUAUUCUUCAUGAGUCAUUCCUCUUUUCCCUCUCCUUCUGCCAUCUGGGUGAUUCUACUGCUUAUAGGGUUGGUGACUA
This 1094-nucleotide long non-coding RNA is filed under the name Daucus carota (carrot). RNAcentral describes it as "long non-coding RNA (DCAR_LNC006086)". The record is from RNAcentral. Lineage: Eukaryota; Viridiplantae; Streptophyta; Magnoliopsida; Apiales; Apiaceae.